Molecule: long non-coding RNA, 897 nt
Organism: Eucalyptus grandis
Lineage: Eukaryota; Viridiplantae; Streptophyta; Magnoliopsida; Myrtales; Myrtaceae
Exons: 2
Source: RefSeq, a predicted model, not a curated record
CUCUCUCUCGCACGAAACCCCCCUGCAGUCUUCAAUUUCUUCUUUUCCUUUGACCGGUCUUCUCUUUUAUCUUUUCUUCACUUGCUUCCCACGCCAGGGCAGCUGAACCCUACUCCCUCACGUCUUCUGCUUUCUUUAAUUUGCUUGGACGGAAGCAAACCCGCAGAAGCAGCCCCACGAUUCCUCUUCUUCUCUGCCAUGCCGCACUCACGCAUGCCUCAUCCCCACCGAGAAUUUUCUUCCCUGUAGCUCACCCACGUAUUUCAUUCGGUCAGCAAAUCAGCAACUUCUUCUCAUGGUUAACUCCAGCAGGGACGAAAAGGAUUCCUCCGAGAGACCUCACGUCCCGCAAACCCCGCAGCUGCAACUCAGCCCGGUUCCUGGUCGUUCCAUCACUGCGGCCACCGAAUCCAGUCAAACCGUGUCCAUUCAGCCACUGAUUUCAUCCCUUCAGAACCGAUUCAGCAAGGUCAGAAGCUCGGGAGCAGAAUACCCAACUCGAACAGCGAGCUUGUAGGCCGAUUUCGGCCCCGGUUUGGCCCCGCUAGGCAGUCCUGCUUUGAGGUUUAUCGGCACUCGUCGCGUGCUCGUCAAUUUGAUCCAAGCAGAUCUUUAAUCAAGACCUGGAUGAGGAGCCUAAGGAGCAUGAUUCUGGUGAGGAGAUCUCUGUUGAGGAACCCGAAGAGGAGUACGUGGAGGAGGACCCCGAGGAUAACCCCGAGUACGACCCAGAUGAGGAAUGAGAUCCCGUCCUGUCUUGUCAGACCUUGUGUGCAUGUGAAUAGAUGUUAGACCAGAGUUGCAUAUAUAUAGUAUUGUAGAAUACUAUGAGAUGCAUGUAAAAAGGUGUGGUUGUAAAUUUUCAAUAUGAAAAAUAUAUGGCCUGCUUUUCUAUCC